UCGGGAAUUUUGGGCAAUGGGCGAAAGCCUGACCCAGCAACGCCGCGUGAGGGAUGAAGUAUUUCGGUAUGUAAACCUCGAAAGAAUGGGAAGAAUAAAUGACGGUACCAUUUAUAAGCUCCGGCUAACUACGUGCCAGCAGCCGCGGUAAUACGUAGGGAGCAAGCGUUGUUCGGAUUUACUGGGCGUAAAGGGCGCGUAGGCGGCGCGGUAAGUCACUUGUGUAAGCUCUGAGCUUAACUCAGAACGGCCAAGUGAUACUGCUGUGCUAGAGUGCGGAAGAGGAAAACGGAAUUCUUGGUGUAGCGGUGAAAUGCGUAGAUAUCAAGAGGAACACCUGAGGCGAAGGCGGGUUGCUGGGCCGACACUGACGCUGAUGCGCGAAAGCCAGGGGAGCAAACG
Molecule: ribosomal RNA, 402 nt
Filed under: uncultured bacterium
Lineage: Bacteria
Description: bacterial SSU rRNA
Rfam family: Bacterial small subunit ribosomal RNA
Source: RNAcentral